Molecule: ribosomal RNA, 474 nt
Filed under: uncultured Desulfobulbus sp.
Lineage: Bacteria; Pseudomonadati; Thermodesulfobacteriota; Desulfobulbia; Desulfobulbales; Desulfobulbaceae
Description: bacterial SSU rRNA
Rfam family: Bacterial small subunit ribosomal RNA
Source: RNAcentral
ACGGGGCCCGCACAAGCGGUGGAGUAUGUGGUUUAAUUCGAUGCAACGCGAAGAACCUUACCUGGUCUUGACAUCCCGGAGACCCUUAGGAAACUAGGGGGUGCUUCCAUCUGGAAGAAUCUGGAGACAGGUGCUGCAUGGCUGUCGUCAGCUCGUGUCGUGAGAUGUUGGGUUAAGUCCCGCAACGAGCGCAACCCUUGCCUUUAGUUGCCAGCAGUUCGGCUGGGCACUCUAAAGGGACUGCCGGUGUUAAACCGGAGGAAGGUGGGGAUGACGUCAAGUCCUCAUGGCCUUUAUGACCAGGGCUACACACGUACUACAAUGGCCGAUACAAAGGGCAGCGACACUGCGAGGUGAAGCCAAUCCCGUAAAAUCGGUCUCAGUCCGGAUUGGAGUCUGCAACUCGACUCCAUGAAGUUGGAAUCGCUAGUAAUCGUGGAUCAGCAUGCCACGGUGAAUGCGUUCCCGGGCCUU